RNAcentral lists this ribosomal RNA (786 nucleotides) under Microbacterium maritypicum. RNAcentral's name for it is "bacterial SSU rRNA". It matches the Rfam family "Bacterial small subunit ribosomal RNA", at positions 61 to 856 of the family's 1533-position model. The record is from RNAcentral. Lineage: Bacteria; Bacillati; Actinomycetota; Actinomycetes; Micrococcales; Microbacteriaceae.
GUCGAACGGUGAACACGGAGCUUGCUCUGUGGGAUCAGUGGCGAACGGGUGAGUAACACGUGAGCAACCUGCCCCUGACUCUGGGAUAAGCGCUGGAAACGGCGUCUAAUACUGGAUAUGUGACGUGAUCGCAUGGUCUGCGUCUGGAAAGAAUUUCGGUUGGGGAUGGGCUCGCGGCCUAUCAGCUUGUUGGUGAGGUAAUGGCUCACCAAGGCGUCGACGGGUAGCCGGCCUGAGAGGGUGACCGGCCACACUGGGACUGAGACACGGCCCAGACUCCUACGGGAGGCAGCAGUGGGGAAUAUUGCACAAUGGGCGCAAGCCUGAUGCAGCAACGCCGCGUGAGGGACGACGGCCUUCGGGUUGUAAACCUCUUUUAGCAGGGAAGAAGCGAAAGUGACGGUACCUGCAGAAAAAGCGCCGGCUAACUACGUGCCAGCAGCCGCGGUAAUACGUAGGGCGCAAGCGUUAUCCGGAAUUAUUGGGCGUAAAGAGCUCGUAGGCGGUUUGUCGCGUCUGCUGUGAAAUCCGGAGGCUCAACCUCCGGCCUGCAGUGGGUACGGGCAGACUAGAGUGCGGUAGGGGAGAUUGGAAUUCCUGGUGUAGCGGUGGAAUGCGCAGAUAUCAGGAGGAACACCGAUGGCGAAGGCAGAUCUCUGGGCCGUAACUGACGCUGAGGAGCGAAAGGGUGGGGAGCAAACAGGCUUAGAUACCCUGGUAGUCCACCCCGUAAACGUUGGGAACUAGUUGUGGGGUCCAUUCCACGGAUUCCGUGACGCAGCUAAC